Molecule: non-coding RNA, 348 nt
Rfam family: Alphaproteobacteria transfer-messenger RNA
About the family: Bacterial tmRNA, also known as 10Sa RNA or SsrA, is named for its dual tRNA and mRNA-like properties. Its role is to liberate the mRNA from a stalled ribosome.
Source: Rfam
CGACUUUAAAAAAAAAAAAUUACACGUUAUAAGAUAAAUGUCUCUUUAGGGACUAUGGUAAUAAACGCGCAUGUAAUAAGCGGAUCGGACCCGGGGGCGGUACCCGGCGACUCCACCAUAAUCCAUCAUUUGUGGAGUUUGGGGUCGAAAUAGGAUCGACGGACGUCUAAAGAUGUUAGCUUUUGCCCGGUGCGGUGUCGCUGUUAUCGACCCAUUUAAGCUAGUUGCAAAUGACAACAAAGCACCGAUGGCUUUGGCUGCGUAAGCGGUCCGAAAUAUUGGAACCUUAAGUCUUAGGCCUGCGGUCUAAGCGGGGUCCGGAGGUACCUGGCAACAGAAACCUCCACU